GUCCUGUGUGAAGUCGCGCGGCUUCCACCCACGCAGUGUUCUAAGUGAAGGCCAGAAACUCGCUCGCCAUGUCGGCUGCAGAGGCGGGGGGUGUUUUCCACAGAGCCAGGGGCAGGACCCUGGACGCGUUUCCCGCAGAAAAGGAAAGCGAAUGGAAAGGCCCAUUCUACUUCAUCCUGGGCGCAGACCCACAGUUUGGGCUGAUGAAGGCCUGGUCCACUGGGGACUGUGACAAUGGCGGUGACGAAUGGGAACAGGAGAUCCGUCUAACUGAGCAAGCCGUCCAGGCCAUCAACAAGCUGAACCCCAAACCCAAAUUCUUCGUUCUGUGCGGCGACCUCAUCCACGCCAUGCCAGGUAAGACUCGGGUCAUCGCUUGUGACCUUUUCUCCUUCAGCCAGUCAUGACUGCAUUUGGGCAGGAAAAGAAAAGAUUUUGCUUCAAAGGCAUCUUUGCUCAGUCAUGGACCAUUCUUUCGCUUCAUGAUUGUUGCAGUAUCAUUGAACAUCAGAAAGUGCACACUCAUGUUAUAUUUAGAGUUUGGCGAGAUUAAUCACAGUAAUUAGGC
Molecule: small RNA, 568 nt
Filed under: Pan troglodytes (chimpanzee)
Lineage: Eukaryota; Metazoa; Chordata; Mammalia; Primates; Hominidae
Description: retained intron
Source: RNAcentral